This 361-nucleotide ribosomal RNA is filed under the name uncultured microorganism. Its description in RNAcentral is "bacterial SSU rRNA". It matches the Rfam family "Bacterial small subunit ribosomal RNA", at positions 9 to 346 of the family's 1533-position model. The record is from RNAcentral.
GAGUUUGAUCCUGGCUCAGGAUGAACGCUGGCGGCGUGCCUAACACAUGCAAGUCGAGCGAAGCAUACAGGAGGAAGUUUUCGGAUGGAAUCCUGCAUGGCUGAGCGGCGGACGGGUGAGUAACGCGUGGGUAACCUGCCUUAUACAGGGGGAUAACAGUUAGAAAUGACUUGCUAAUACCGCAUAAAGCGCACAGUACCGCAUGGUAGUGUGUGAAAAACUCCGGUGGUAUAAGAUGGACCCGCGUCUGACUUAGCCAGUUUGGCGAGGUAACGGCUCACCAAGGCGACGAUCAGUAGCUGGUCUGAGAGGAUGAUCCGCCACGACUGGGACUGAGACACGGCCCAGACUCCGUACGGGA